Portunus trituberculatus (swimming crab) is the source of this 655-nucleotide long non-coding RNA. RefSeq lists it as uncharacterized. Lineage: Eukaryota; Metazoa; Arthropoda; Malacostraca; Decapoda; Portunidae. The transcript is spliced from 4 exons. The record is from RefSeq and is a predicted model, not a curated record.
AGAAGUAGAGGAAAAUAAGAAGAGGAAGACAAGACAAGAAAUCAAGAGAAAAAAGAAAAAAACUCCCUGGACUGCGACCUCACUGUGAGCUGCACUGUGACCCCAGAGGAGGUGGCCAUUCAACGCUGAGGUCACACAGGCUCCCUUCCUGAUGCAGAUUUCACAAAUAAACUGGCAGGGAAUGAGACCAAAGACCAGGAAGAGAAUCAUUGCAGAGGUGUCAGCCAACCAGCCAGCCAGGAAAGUCAAGAGUCCCUGAAUGCUGGUAAUAAGAUGCUGGGGCCAGGAACACUGUACCAUGAAGGCAAACCACAAACCUUCAACAAGACGUGGAGUGAUGAAGAAUGGCCAAAGUACAAGACAAGAUGUUUUUGUAAAUGUUGAAUUUUUAGGACAAAAAUACAGUGUGCUUGGUAACAGAUUUAUCCAAUGCUCAAUUACUUAUCUCAGAAGGAAUGAAGAAUGUGCAUUGAAAUAAAUAUCACUGCUUGUAUGUGAGUGAGUCUUGUGAUGGAGUUAAAGUCAUCUUAAAACAUUCUGCACUAACCAUAUUACCCCUUAACACAAAUUAUGUACUUUACAACUUUGCAUAGUAAGACUAAGUUAAUAUGAUUAAUCCUAAUGUGAGGUACUGUAAUGUUUUCUUCAUUUUCAG